CGCUUGCUGUUGCGCUGACCAGUGUGCGGUAAGGCGUGAGUUAUGUCUGGGAGACUGCCUGAUGGAGGGUGAUAACUAGUGGAUACUGUAGCUAAUGCCGCCUAACGUCACGAGACCAAAGAGGGGAGACCUUUCGGCCUCUUGCGAUCCCAUGUGCCCAGAUCUUAUUAGCUAGUAGGUGGGGUAACGGCUCACCUAGGCGACGAUCCCUAUGCUGGUCUGAGAGGAUGACCAGCCACACUGGAACUGAGACACAGUCCCAGACUCCUACGGGAGGCAGCAGUGGGGAAUAUGGCACAAUGGCCCGCAAGCCUGAUGCAGCCAUGCCGCGUGUAUGAAGAAGGCCUUCGGGUUGUAAAGUACUUUCAGAGGGGAGGAAGGGAGUAAAUGUAAUACCUUUCGCUCAUUGAACGUAUCACCCGCAAGAAGACAGCACCAAUCUAACUCCGUGCCAGCAGCCGCGGUAAUACGGAGGGUGCAAGCGUUAAUCGCAAUUACUGGGCGUAAAGCGCACGCAGGCGGUUUGUUAAGUCAGAUGUGAAAUCCCCGGGCUCAACCUGGAGAACUGCAUCUGGAUACUGGCAAUGCUUGAUGCUCGUAGAGGGGGGUAGAAUUCCAUGGGUA
This 624-nucleotide ribosomal RNA is filed under the name bacterium. RNAcentral describes it as "bacterial SSU rRNA". It matches the Rfam family "Bacterial small subunit ribosomal RNA", at positions 71 to 677 of the family's 1533-position model. The record is from RNAcentral.